GUUGAAGGAUUUGGAAAAUUCCGCUAAAGAGGGUGAAAGCCCCGUAGACGAAAUGCUGACAACACCUAGGAGGAUCCUGAGUACGGCGGAACACGAGAAAUUCCGUCGGAAUCCGCGGGGACCAUCCCGCAAGGCUAAAUACUCCCUAGUGACCGAUAGUGAACCAGUACCGUGAGGGAAAGGUGAAAAGCACCCCGGAAGGGGAGUGAAAUAGAUCCUGAAACCGUGUGCCUACAACAAGUCAAAGCUCGUUAAUGAGUGAUGGCGUGCCUUUUGUAGAAUGAACCGGCGAGUUACGAUUGCAUGCGAGGUUAAGUCGAAGAGACGGAGCCGCAGCGAAAGCGAGUCUGAAUAGGGCGAAUGAGUAUGUAGUCGUAGACCCGAAACCAUGUGAUCUACCCAUGUCCAGGUUGAAGGUGCGGUAAAACGCACUGGAGGACCGAACCCACGUACGUUGAAAAGUGCGGGGAUGAGGUGUGGGUAGCGGAGAAAUUCCAAACGAACUUGGAGAUAGCUGGUUCUCUCCGAAAUAGCUUUAGGGCUAGCCUCGGAAUUGAGAAUGAUGGAGGUAGAGCACUGUUUGGACUAGGGGCCCAUCUCGGGUUACCGAAUUCAGAUAAACUCCGAAUGCCAUUCAUUUAUAUCCGGGAGUCAGACUGCGAGUGAUAAGAUCCGUAGUCGAAAGGGAAACAGCCCAGACCACCAGCUAAGGUCCCAAAAUAUAUGUUAAGUGGAAAAGGAUGUGGGGUUGCACAGACAACUAGGAUGUUGGCUUAGAAGCAGCCACCAUUUAAAGAGUGCGUAAUAGCUCACUAGUCGAGUGACCCUGCGCCGAAAAUGUACCGGGGCUAAACAUAUUACCGAAGCUGUGGACUACACCAUUAGGUGUAGUGGUAGGAGAGCGUU
Molecule: ribosomal RNA, 906 nt
Filed under: Enterococcus faecalis
Lineage: Bacteria; Bacillati; Bacillota; Bacilli; Lactobacillales; Enterococcaceae
Description: partial 23S ribosomal RNA
Rfam family: Bacterial large subunit ribosomal RNA
Source: RNAcentral